GGCGAACGCUGGCGUCGUGCUUAACACAUGCAAGUCGAACGGAAAGGCCCUGCUUUUGUGGGGUGCUCGAGUGGCGAACGGGUGAGUAACACGUGAGUAACCUGCCCUUGACUUUGGGAUAACUUCAGGAAACUGGGGCUAAUACCGGAUAGGAGCUCCUGCUGCAUGGUGGGGGUUGGAAAGUUUCGGCGGUUGGGGAUGGACUCGCGGCUUAUCAGCUUGUUGGUGGGGUAGUGGCUUACCAAGGCUUUGACGGGUAGCCGGCCUGAGAGGGUGACCGGCCACAUUGGGACUGAGAUACGGCCCAGACUCCUACGGGAGGCAGCAGUGGGGAAUAUUGCACAAUGGGCGGAAGCCUGAUGCAGCAACGCCGCGUGCGGGAUGACGGCCUUCGGGUUGUAAACCGCUUUCGCCUGUGACGAAGCGUGAGUGACGGUAAUGGGUAAAGAAGCACCGGCUAACUACGUG
This 468-nucleotide ribosomal RNA is filed under the name uncultured bacterium. RNAcentral's name for it is "partial 16S ribosomal RNA". It matches the Rfam family "Bacterial small subunit ribosomal RNA", at positions 28 to 507 of the family's 1533-position model. The record is from RNAcentral.